RNAcentral lists this ribosomal RNA (147 nucleotides) under Triticum aestivum (bread wheat). Its description in RNAcentral is "partial small subunit ribosomal RNA". Lineage: Eukaryota; Viridiplantae; Streptophyta; Magnoliopsida; Poales; Poaceae. The record is from RNAcentral.
CUCCACAUUGGAUCCAGAACAGGAUCGGAGGGAUCAAAAACUGCUAAGUUGUAUAAAGACAUUGAACUAGCCCAACCAGAAACUGGAGUUGUGUGCAUUAUAUGCACCGCAAGCAAUCGACCUGCAUCAUUCAAUGCGAUAUUAUGA